AUUGAACGCUGGCGGCAUGCUUUACACAUGCAAGUCGAACGGUAACAGGUUAAGCUGACGAGUGGCGAACGGGUGAGUAAUGCAUCGGAACGUGCCCGGUCGUGGGGGAUAACGCAGCGAAAGCUGCGCUAAUACCGCAUACGAUCUGAGGAUGAAAGCGGGGGACCGUAAGGCCUCGCGCGAUCGGAGCGGCCGAUGUCAGAUUAGGUAGUUGGUGGGGUAAAGGCUCACCAAGCCGACGAUCUGUAGCUGGUCUGAGAGGACGACCAGCCACACUGGGACUGAGACACGGCCCAGACUCCUACGGGAGGCAGCAGUGGGGAAUUUUGGACAAUGGGGGGCAACCCUGAUCCAGCCAUGCCGCGUGAGUGAAGAAGGCCUCGGUUGUAAGCUCUUCGGCCGGGAAAAAGUACGACAUCAGUUAAUACCU
RNAcentral lists this ribosomal RNA (430 nucleotides) under uncultured bacterium. RNAcentral's name for it is "bacterial SSU rRNA". It matches the Rfam family "Bacterial small subunit ribosomal RNA", at positions 30 to 480 of the family's 1533-position model. The record is from RNAcentral.